GAUGAACGCUGGCGGCGUGCCUAAUACAUGCAAGUCGAGCGAACAGACGAGGAGCUUGCUCCUCUGACGUUAGCGGCGGACGGGUGAGUAACACGUGGAUAACCUACCUAUAAGACUGGGAUAACUUCGGGAAACCGGAGCUAAUACCGGAUAAUAUAUUGAACCGCAUGGUUCAAGAGUGAAAGACGGUUUUGCUGUCACUUAUAGAUGGAUCCGCGCCGCAUUAGCUAGUUGGUAAGGUAACGGCUUACCAAGGCAACGAUGCGUAGCCGACCUGAGAGGGUGAUCGGCCACACUGGAACUGAGACACGGUCCAGACUCCUACGGGAGGCAGCAGUAGGGAAUCUUCCGCAAUGGGCGAAAGCCUGACGGAGCAACGCCGCGUGAGUGAUGAAGGUCCUCGGAUCGUAAAACUCUGUUAUUAGGGAAGAACAAAUGUGUAAGUAACUAUGCACGUCUUGACGGUACCUAAUCAGAAAGCCACGGCUAACUACGUG
Molecule: ribosomal RNA, 497 nt
Filed under: uncultured bacterium
Lineage: Bacteria
Description: partial 16S ribosomal RNA
Rfam family: Bacterial small subunit ribosomal RNA
Source: RNAcentral